This 231-nucleotide unclassified non-coding RNA is filed under the name uncultured Thanatephorus. RNAcentral's name for it is "partial internal transcribed spacer 2". Lineage: Eukaryota; Fungi; Basidiomycota; Agaricomycetes; Cantharellales; Ceratobasidiaceae. The record is from RNAcentral.
AAAUAUUCAAAGUAAAAUCUUUUGUUAACUCAAUUGGUUAUGCUUUGGUCUUGGAGGUUUUUUGCAGGUUCACACCUGCUCCUCUUUGUGAAUUAGCUGGAUCUCAGUGUUAUGCUUGGUUCCACUCGGCGUGAUAAGUUAUCUAUCGCUGAGGACACCGUAAAAAGUGGCCAAGGUAAAUGCAGAUGAACCGCUUCCAAUAGUCCAUUGACUUGGACAAUACAAUUUAUG